This 450-nucleotide ribosomal RNA is filed under the name uncultured Glomeromycotina. RNAcentral's name for it is "SSU rRNA". It matches the Rfam family "Eukaryotic small subunit ribosomal RNA", at positions 569 to 1024 of the family's 1831-position model. The record is from RNAcentral. Lineage: Eukaryota; Fungi; Glomeromycota.
AGCAGCCGCGGUAAUUCCAGCUCCAAUAGCGUAUAUUAAAGUUGUUGCAGUUAAAAAGCUCGUAGUUGAAUUUCGGGACCAAUUUGUUGGUCGUGCCUCGGUACGUACUGGUAUUAUUGGUUUCUCCCUUCUGAAGAACCAUGAUGCCAUUAAUUUGGUGUCGUGGGGAAUCAGGACUGUUACUUUGAAAAAAUUAGAGUGUUUAAAGCAGGCAUACGCUUGAAUACAUUAGCAUGGAAUAAUGAAAUAGGACGUUUGAUUCUAUUUUGUUGGUUUCUAGGAUCGACGUAAUGAUUAAUAGGGAUAGUUGGGGGCAUUAGUAUUCAAUUGUCAGAGGUGAAAUUCUUGGAUUUAUUGAAGACUAACUACUGCGAAAGCAUUUGCCAAGGAUGUUUUCAUUAAUCAAGAACGAAAGUUAGGGGAUCGAAGACGAUCAGAUACCGUCGUAGU